Molecule: ribosomal RNA, 1401 nt
Filed under: uncultured bacterium
Lineage: Bacteria
Description: 16S ribosomal RNA
Rfam family: Bacterial small subunit ribosomal RNA
Source: RNAcentral
UUCGCCCUUAGAGUUUGAUCCUGGCUCAGGAUGAACGCUGGCGGCGUGCCUAACACAUGCAAGUCGAGCGAAGCACUUUAAUUCGAUUCUUCGGAUGAAGAUUUUUGUGACUGAGCGGCGGACGGGUGAGUAACGCGUGGGCAACCUGCCUUACACAGGGGGAUAACAGUUAGAAAUGACUGCUAAUACCGCAUAAGACCGCAGUACCGCAUGGUACAGCGGUAAAAACUCCGGUGGUGUAAGAUGGGCCCGCGUCUGAUUAGGUAGUUGGCGGGGUAACGGCCCACCAAGCCGACGAUCAGUAGCCGACCUGAGAGGGUGACCGGCCACAUUGGGACUGAGACACGGCCCAGACUCCUACGGGAGGCAGCAGUGGGGAAUAUUGCACAAUGGGGGAAACCCUGAUGCAGCGACGCCGCGUGAGCGAUGAAGUAUUUCGGUAUGUAAAGCUCUAUCAGCAGGGAAGAAAAUGACGGUACCUGACUAAGAAGCCCCGGCUAACUACGUGCCAGCAGCCGCGGUAAUACGUAGGGGGCAAGCGUUAUCCGGAUUUACUGGGUGUAAAGGGAGCGUAGACGGCUGUGCAAGCCAGAUGUGAAAGCCCGGGGCUCAACCCCGGGACUGCAUUUGGAACUGUGUGGCUGGAGUGUCGGAGAGGCAGGCGGAAUUCCUAGUGUAGCGGUGAAAUGCGUAGAUAUUAGGAGGAACACCAGUGGCGAAGGCGGCCUGCUGGACGAUGACUGACGUUGAGGCUCGAAAGCGUGGGGAGCAAACAGGAUUAGAUACCCUGGUAGUCCACGCUGUAAACGAUCGAUACUAGGUUUGGGGGGAGAGACCCCCUGGCGGGGCCGGGAGUUAACACAAUUAAGUAUCGCACCUGGGGGGUACGAUCGCAAGGGUUGAAACUCAAAGGAAUUGACGGGGGCCCGCACAAGCGGUGGAUUAUGUGGUUUAAUUCGAAGCAACGCGAAGAACCUUACCAGGGCUUGACAUCCUACUAACGAAGUAGAGAUACAUUAGGUACCCUUCGGGGGAAGUAGAGACAGGUGGUGCAUGGUUGUCGUCAGCUCGUGUCGUGAGAUGUUGGGUUAAGUCCCGCAACGAGCGCAACCCUUAUUGUUAGUUGCUACGCAAGAGCACUCUAGCGAGACUGCCGUUGACAAAACGGAGGAAGGUGGGGAGGACGUCAAAUCAUCAUGCCCCUUAUGUCCUGGGCUACACACGUAAUACAAUGGCGGUAAACAGAGGGAUGCAAAGCUGUGAAGUGGAGCGAACCCCUAAAAGCCGUCCCAGUUCAGAUUGCAGUCUGCAACUCGACUGCAUGAAGUCGGAAUCGCUAGUAAUCGCGGAUCAGCAUGCCGCGGUGAAUACGUUCCCAGGCCUUGUACACACCGCCCGUCA